GGAUGUGAGGGUGAUCUGGCUGCGACAUCUGUCACCCCAUUGAUCACCAGGGUUGAUUCGGCUGAUCCGGUUGGCUAGGCAGGUGUCCCCUUCCUCCCUCACUGCUUCAUGUGUGUCCCCCUCAACGCUGUGAGCUCAGUAGAAGAAGAGAACCUUUCCCACCAGAGGAGAACUGUUCUUCCAUCAAGGGUAUACAAGUAGCUGCACUCCCCUGCUAGAACCUCCAAACAAGCUCUCAAGAAUAUUAGACUCUGCUAAAGGCUACCUACCUAUCAAGUUGAAACAUAGAAUUUUAUCAAAAGUUUAAUAAGUGAUU
This 316-nucleotide small nuclear RNA is filed under the name Propithecus coquereli (Coquerel's sifaka). Its description in RNAcentral is "7SK RNA (ENSPCOG00000010894.1)". It matches the Rfam family "7SK RNA". Rfam says of the family: 7SK was discovered as an abundant small nuclear RNA in the mid-70s but a possible function has only recently been suggested. Two independent studies have found that 7SK RNA binds the CDK9/cyclin T complex (known as elongation factor P-TEFb). P-TEFb activates transcription by phosphorylating the C-terminal domain of RNA polymerase II. Lineage: Eukaryota; Metazoa; Chordata; Mammalia; Primates; Indriidae. The record is from Rfam by way of RNAcentral.